AUGGAUAGCUUAUUUGUUUUAUUGUAUAUACUUUGUAGUUUCAAUGAUGAGACAUAUAUGUCAACUAUGGGUGUUGGCUCCAACAAUUCUCAUUGGUCUCAAACAAAUGAUGUGCAUUUAGAUGAUCAUGAGUUUGAGGUGGACGAGGAUGGUGAGGGUAUCGUUGAUGCACCGAAAGGAAGAUCGGGAAACUACAUGGACAAAGACAUCUUGCUAAGCAAUACAUGUUUGAAAGUGUCUAGGGAUGCCAUUGUUGUAGGGGAUCAAGUAGAGAUGCAUAUUGGAUCCGGAUGA
RNAcentral lists this ribosomal RNA (294 nucleotides) under Triticum aestivum (bread wheat). RNAcentral's name for it is "partial small subunit ribosomal RNA". Lineage: Eukaryota; Viridiplantae; Streptophyta; Magnoliopsida; Poales; Poaceae. The record is from RNAcentral.